UACGUAGGGUGCGAGCGUUGUCCGGAAUUACUGGGCGUAAAGGGCGCGUAGGCGGUUCGAUAAGUAGGGGGUGAAAUUCCGUGGCUCAACCACGGAACUGCCUUCUAGACUGUCGGACUUGAGCACGGUAGAGGCAGAUGGAAUUCCCGGUGUAGCGGUGGAAUGCGUAGAGAUCGGGAAGAACACCAGUGGCGAAGGCGGUCUGCUGGGCCGUUGCUGACGCUGAUGCGCGACAGCGUGGGGAGCAAACAGG
This 253-nucleotide ribosomal RNA is filed under the name uncultured bacterium. RNAcentral describes it as "partial 16S ribosomal RNA". It matches the Rfam family "Bacterial small subunit ribosomal RNA", at positions 524 to 776 of the family's 1533-position model. The record is from RNAcentral.